This 496-nucleotide ribosomal RNA is filed under the name uncultured bacterium. RNAcentral's name for it is "partial 16S ribosomal RNA". It matches the Rfam family "Bacterial small subunit ribosomal RNA", at positions 28 to 506 of the family's 1533-position model. The record is from RNAcentral.
GAUGAACGCUGGCGGCGUGCCUAAUACAUGCAAGUCGAGCGAACAGACGAGGAGCUUGCUCCUCUGACGUUAGCGGCGGACGGGUGAGUAACACGUGGAUAACCUACCUAUAAGACUGGGAUAACUUCGGGAAACCGGAGCUAAUACCGGAUAAUAUAUUGAGCCGCAUGGUUCAAUAGUGAAAGACGGUUUUGCUGUCACUUAUAGAUGGAUCCGCGCCGCAUUAGCUAGUUGGUAAGGUAACGGCUUACCAAGGCAACGAUGCGUAGCCGACCUGAGAGGGUGAUCGGCCACACUGGAACUGAGACACGGUCCAGACUCCUACGGGAGGCAGCAGUAGGGAAUCUUCCGCAAUGGGCGAAAGCCUGACGGAGCAACGCCGCGGGAGUGAUGAAGGUCUUCGGAUCGUAAAACUCUGUUAUUAGGGAAGAACAAAUGUGUAAGUAACUAUGCACGUCUUGACGGUACCUAAUCAGAAAACCACGGCUAACUACGU